This 427-nucleotide ribosomal RNA is filed under the name uncultured bacterium. RNAcentral describes it as "partial 16S ribosomal RNA". It matches the Rfam family "Bacterial small subunit ribosomal RNA", at positions 355 to 774 of the family's 1533-position model. The record is from RNAcentral.
UGGGGAAUAUUGGACAAUGGGCGAAAGCCUGAUCCAGCCAUGCCGCGUGUGUGAAGAAGAUCUUCGGAUUGUAAAGCACUUUAAGUUGGGAGGAAGGGCAUUAACCUAAUACGUUAGUGUUUUGACGUUACCGACAGAAUAAGCACCGGCUAACUCUGUGCCAGCAGCCGCGGUAAUACAGAGGGUGCAAGCGUUAAUCGGAAUUACUGGGCGUAAAGCGCGCGUAGGUGGUUUGUUAAGUUGGAUGUGAAAUCCCCGGGCUCAACCUGGGAACUGCAUUCAAAACUGACUGACUAGAGUAUGGUAGAGGGUGGUGGAAUUUCCUGUGUAGCGGUGAAAUGCGUAGAUAUAGGAAGGAACACCAGUGGCGAAGGCGACCACCUGGACUAAUACUGACACUGAGGUGCGAAAGCGUGGGGAGCAAACA